UUCUCUCACUUUUCUUCUUCCUUUCAUUUUCUUCAUCUUCAUUGUUGACACUCCCAAUUGAUGAUUCUCAUUAUUUGAUCUCUUCCCAUUCAUCAACUUUUCUCCAAUCUCUCCCCAUGGCCAUAGAUUUGGAGUGGAUGUUUGCAAGGAAAGGAGGUGUUGAGGUGCAAAUUCAUAGGAAAGGGAGGGCUUGAGGGGCAAAAGAGAAGAAGAAAGUAGGGUUUCAUUGAGAUUGGAAUUACUAUUAUUGUUAUUAUUAUUAGUAUUAUUACUAGAAAUGGAGAAAUUUGGAGGAUCAAAUGGAGGGGAAGGAGAAUGGGUUUGAGGAAUUGAAGGAAGUUGGAGAAAAGUUAAGUUUGAAGGGAAAUUGAAGAAACCCAUUUGAGAAUUUGCUGCCACUUCAUGAUCUUGAUGAUCUUCAAACAAAGCUUGUGGGUUCAAUAGGACUUGGGAUUUAGAACCCAUUUCUUUUUUCUUUUCUCUCUUUGGUUUGGCUAUGACAAUGGUUUGUUUUUUCUUCUUCUGUCUAUGUGGGAAAAGGGAAAAGAGGAUGGAUUAGAAGAAUUAGAAGAAG
Molecule: unclassified non-coding RNA, 574 nt
Filed under: Hevea brasiliensis (rubber tree)
Lineage: Eukaryota; Viridiplantae; Streptophyta; Magnoliopsida; Malpighiales; Euphorbiaceae
Source: RNAcentral